UUUUAAAUUCAAAACACCUUUUUGGGUGAACAGUCCCGCCCUUCCCCCUUUUCCCAAGAGAGCAGUUUUCUGUCUUCCAAAGCUUGUCACUCACUCACUCAUGCUCACACUCAACCUGUCUUAUCUCUCAUCUCAAGAUACCACUCUUUUCAUAUUCCUUCUUCCUCUUUUUCUCAUACAAACGGCGGCCACCCUCAAGCUUCACAGUCUCUCUCUGCUCCGAUCAGACUCUCUAUCGAUCUCUUCUCUCUGAUUCUCCACUCAACCCUUGGUUCAAUCAUUUGGUCCUGGUUUGAACUCAAAUUUUUAUGUGUAUAAGCACUAGAAUUUGUAGACUUUGAUCCUGUUAUGCAGGUUUCUAUUAUGGAGGUUUCUAAUGUACACUGCUCGAUUUUUUUCCUACAUAAACUUUUUUUAUUUGUGUUAAAUGGUACACUACUUGAAGCAGCAGACAGCAAAGAAAAACAAAUACGCCAGAGACAUGAAGUUGCUUGUCAUGAUGGUUUGGUUGAGGAAGCCAGGCGUAAGGCAGAAGAGAAAAGGAAAAUUGAGAUAGAAAGAAGAAAGCAUGAGGACGAGUUAAAACAAGUGCAAAAACAGGAGGAACAUUUUAAUCGUGAAUGACAUUUGUGAAUUUCUGAAUUUCUAUUGACAGUGGUGCACUACACUCCUAUAUAUGGCUCCUUUAGACAACCUUCAUGUUCCCUUUGUUCCCUUUAGACUACUAAGUAUGUAUAGACUACUAAGUGUGUAAGUUGGAAGUAUAUUUUGCUAGGUUCUGCUGUACCAAAAUAAAAGCUGAGAGUAUAAACAAUUUGUACUUUCAGGAGCACCAAAUUUUGAGAAAAUCUGAAUGGAAGAACAUAUGUUGACUAAUGAAUGUCAAGAAAUUAACCACAUAAGCAUCACCAAACGCAGCAUGAAACGAAGGACUUCGGGUUCGAGUUGUUGUACAGCUUCUGUAUUGGGAACAAGUUUGAACAGCUUCUGCAUUUAGGGCUUACAGUAUUACAAGUCUUAGCAUAUGUUUGGAUCCACGUUUUUCAUUCAAUUUCGCGUCCCAAGGCAAAUCUACCGUGAUUUUUUAACGCUCCAAAUUAUAACUUUUGCUAGAA
Long non-coding RNA from Vicia villosa (hairy vetch), 1115 nucleotides. RefSeq lists it as uncharacterized. Lineage: Eukaryota; Viridiplantae; Streptophyta; Magnoliopsida; Fabales; Fabaceae. The transcript is spliced from 3 exons. The record is from RefSeq and is a predicted model, not a curated record.